UGCAGGGUGGAGCAGCUCGGUAGCUCGCCAGGCUCAUAACCUGGAGGCCGGCGGUUCAAAUCCGCCCCCUGCAGCCA
RNAcentral lists this transfer RNA (77 nucleotides) under Martinezella lusitana. RNAcentral describes it as "Rhizobium lusitanum tRNA-Met". It matches the Rfam family "tRNA". From Rfam's summary of the family: Transfer RNA (tRNA) molecules are approximately 80 nucleotides in length. Their secondary structure includes four short double-helical elements and three loops (D, anti-codon, and T loops). The record is from RNAcentral. Lineage: Bacteria; Pseudomonadati; Pseudomonadota; Alphaproteobacteria; Hyphomicrobiales; Rhizobiaceae.